UACGGAGGGGGCUAGCGUUGUUCGGAAUUACUGGGCGUAAAGCGCACGUAGGCGGCUUUGUAAGUUAGAGGUGAAAGCCUGGGGCUCAACUCCAGAAUUGCCUUUAAGACUGCGGAGCUUGAACGUCGUAGAGGUGAGUGGAAUUCCGAGUGUAGAGGUGAAAUUCGUAGAUAUUCGGAAGAACACCAGUGGCGAAGGCGGCUCACUGGACGACUGUUGACGCUGAGGUGCGAAAGCGUGGGGAGCAAACAGG
RNAcentral lists this ribosomal RNA (253 nucleotides) under uncultured bacterium. RNAcentral describes it as "partial 16S ribosomal RNA". It matches the Rfam family "Bacterial small subunit ribosomal RNA", at positions 524 to 776 of the family's 1533-position model. The record is from RNAcentral.